UACGUAGGAUGCAAGCGUUGUCCGGAAUUAUUGGGCGUAAAGAGCGCGCAGGCGGUAUGACAAGUCAGAUGUGAAAGAGGCCGGCUUAACCGGCAAGGGUCAUUUGAAACUGUCAGACUAGAGUGCAGCAGAGGAUAGUGGAAUUCCCGGUGUAGUGGUGAAAUGCGUAGAUAUCGGGAGGAACACCAGUGGCGAAGGCGACUAUCUGGGCUGCAACUGACGCUGAGGCGCGAAGGCUAGGGUAGCAAACAGG
Molecule: ribosomal RNA, 253 nt
Filed under: Nannocystineae bacterium
Lineage: Bacteria; Pseudomonadati; Myxococcota; Myxococcia; Myxococcales
Also listed under: 1 other name
Description: partial 16S ribosomal RNA
Rfam family: Bacterial small subunit ribosomal RNA
Source: RNAcentral